This is a non-coding RNA of Dipodomys ordii (Ord's kangaroo rat), 1376 nucleotides long. The record is from the annotation of a RefSeq genome assembly. NCBI's taxonomy places the organism in Eukaryota, Metazoa, Chordata, Mammalia, Rodentia, Heteromyidae.
AUGUCGGAGCAGGGAGGUAGGCGGCCGGCCAAGGCAGCAGCUGAGAGCGGUCGCUCUGCAGGCCUCCCCUCCUCCGGCCACGCUCCCCGCCCGGGCGCUGUCUGCUUGCUCCUGCCACCAGUGCGCAGCAGAGCCUGGCUCCUCAGUCCUCUCCGCUCUCUCACCCGCACCGCCGCGGCUCCUUUGAUUUCAGACUCGGGGAAUUCGAAGGUCUUCCCCGCGCCCACUGUCCCUGUGCCAGCAGAGAAGGGCUCUGUGGAGGCCAGGGGACCCACCUCCCCCGCCACCAGCCACACAGAGAGCCCAAGCUGCAGCUGCAACCCCCAAUUCUACCUGCUGCACCCGCCCCUGCAGGGCCUGUGGUUCCGGAAGGAGGCCAACUUCACCUGCCUCGUGGUCGGGGAGGACCUGGUGGACGCCCGCCUCUCCUGGGAGGUGGCCGGGAAGGUCGCCACCAGUGACGUGAAGCAGCAGUCUCUGGAGCGACUGGCCAACGGGUCCCAGAGCCAGAGCAGUCACCUGGUCCUGCCUAGGUCCACCUGGGAGGAGGGGAGCAACGUCAGCUGCAUCCUGACGCUUCCCUGCCUCGCAUCCCCGCGGGAGCUGACAGCAGCGAAGGAGCAGGGGGCCCGGGCGCCCAUCAUCCUCUCCGUCAGCCUGCUGACUACACCGGCCCCUCUGGAGACAGCUUCGUGGCUCCUGUGCGAGGUGUCAGGCUUCUCCCCCCACCACGUCCUCCUGAUGUGGCUGGAGGGCCAGCAGGAGGUGGGCCCUGACCGGUUUGCCUCUGCCGAACCUGGGCCUCAAUCCGGGAGCACCAUGUUCCAAACCUGGAGCGCCCUGCGCAUCCCCCACCUCCUCAGCCCUUCCCCGGCCACCUACACCUGUGUGGUCAAGCAUGAGGCCUCCCGCACCAUGGCCAACGCCAGCAGCAGCCUGGGCGCCAAGGAGCUGGCCACCACCCUGCUGCUGGCCCCACAGAGCCAGGACCAGAACAGUGACGACUACACAGAGCUGGACAAGGAGAGCAGCCUGUGGACCAUGCUGGGCACCUUCGUGGCCCUGUUCCUCCUCACACUGCUCUACAGCGGCUUUGUCACCUUCAUCAAGGUAGCCGGUGAAGUGACCCCAAGUCGCAAGACUUCCUGUUCCUCCAGAACUGGAUGUAGAAGAGGUCUGUGAAGAUGACCUGUCCUGGACGCCCUCCACGCAGGGACAGACCCCAGCCCUCCCUCCCAGCUUCACAGGCAGAUCCGUGGGGUUUCCCAGCUGGGGGGGGCAGCGUGUUCUGCUGGCCUGGCUGGCUGGCACUGCCCCUGCCCCCUGCCCCCUUGACAGUUGUCCUUGCCGCCACCCUGUAAACACACUUUGGUUCA